RNAcentral lists this unclassified non-coding RNA (19 nucleotides) under Mus musculus (house mouse). RNAcentral describes it as "oocyte_clustered_small_RNA7964". Lineage: Eukaryota; Metazoa; Chordata; Mammalia; Rodentia; Muridae. The record is from RNAcentral.
CCAACACCUACAUUGGAGA